GGGAACCUCACCCGGCCCGGACACCGCGAGGAUUGACAGACUGAGAGCUCUUUCUCGAUUCGGUGGGUGGUGCAUGGCCGUUCUUAGUUGGUGGAGCGAUCUGUCUGGUUAAUUCCGAUAACGAACGAGACCCCAACCUGCUAACUAGCCCUCGGGUCCUGCUUCUGUUGGGCCCGACGGAAUGAUUCGCUUCUUAGAGGGACUCGCGGCGCCUAGCCGCACGAAGGGGGGCGAUAA
Molecule: ribosomal RNA, 237 nt
Filed under: uncultured eukaryote
Lineage: Eukaryota
Description: partial 18S ribosomal RNA
Rfam family: Eukaryotic small subunit ribosomal RNA
Source: RNAcentral